Molecule: long non-coding RNA, 532 nt
Filed under: Homo sapiens (human)
Lineage: Eukaryota; Metazoa; Chordata; Mammalia; Primates; Hominidae
Source: RNAcentral
CUCCUGUCUGCAGGAUUUACGCGCACGUUGGAACCGAAGAGAGCUCUGUUGUUGCAAUGUUCAGCCCACAAGAGCUUACUGGUGAAGGAAUGGGACAAGACCCAUCUUUAUGCAAAGCCAGCGUUACAGUAAUGUUCCAGCAUCUCAUAAUCUAUCCUGGGGAAUUCAGCUGCCUCCCAGGGUGAAUACAGGUAUUCCUGAUGACAGUCUGCCUCUAUCUUACAGAGCAGCUUGUUGCUAUAUACCAUUGAAAAGCCUUCAGAGCUGAGAGGUUAGUUGAUAUUUUUUGUUCCUUACAGCUUAUGCCACCAAGUAGGCAGUUUCUAUGAUGAAUCAAACUAGCUCACUAUGACCGACAGUGAAAAUACAUGAACACCUGAGAAACUGGAGAACGCAGGGAGUGGGGGGUAACCAUGUCUGAGGAAUCUUUCACCCACAGCUUUGUUUUUCUCUAGGUACUACUAACCAAUAACCUGCUUGGCUCAAAGGGCCAGCACCUUCUCUCUAAAGCCCAAGAGGAGUUUGAGGUAAA